UGGGGAAUAUUGCGCAAUGGGGGGAACCCUGACGCAGCCAUGCCGCGUGAAUGAAGAAGGCCUUCGGGUUGUAAAGUUCUUUCGGUAUUGAGGAAGGUUGAUGUGUUAAUAGCACAUCAAAUUGACGUUAAAUACAGAAGAAGCACCUNGCUAACUCCGUGCCAGCAGCCGCGGUAAUACGGAGGGUGCGAGCGUUAAUCGGAAUAACUGGGCGUAAAGGGCACGCAGGCGGUUAUUUAAGUGAGGUGUGAAAGCCCCGGGCUUAACCUGGGAAUUGCAUUUCAGACUGGGUAACUAGAGUACUUUAGGGAGGGGUAGAAUUCCACGUGUAGCGGUGAAAUGCGUAGAGAUGUGGAGGAAUACCGAAGGCGAAGGCAGCCCCUUGGGAAUGUACUGACGCUCAUGUGCGAAAGCGUGGGGAGCAAACAGGAUUAGAUACCCUGGUAGUCCACGCUGUAAACGCUGUCGAUUUGGGGGUUGGGGUUUAACUCUGGCGCCCGUAGCUAACGUGAUAAAUCGACCGCCUGGGGAGUACGGCCGCAAGGUUA
Molecule: ribosomal RNA, 548 nt
Filed under: uncultured bacterium
Lineage: Bacteria
Description: bacterial SSU rRNA
Rfam family: Bacterial small subunit ribosomal RNA
Source: RNAcentral